This 262-nucleotide unclassified non-coding RNA is filed under the name Ascomycota sp. RNAcentral's name for it is "partial contains small subunit ribosomal RNA, internal transcribed spacer 1, and 5.8S ribosomal RNA". The stretch from base 1 to 47 matches the Rfam family "Eukaryotic small subunit ribosomal RNA", at positions 1785 to 1831 of the family's 1831-position model. Lineage: Eukaryota; Fungi; Ascomycota. The record is from RNAcentral.
AAAGUCGUAACAAGGUUUCCGUAGGUGAACCUGCGGAAGGAUCAUUACCGAGUUAGGCCCUCACAGGCCAAAUCUCACACCCUAACUUAUACUACUUAUGUUGCUUUGGCGGGCCGCUCAGGCACCAGCUUCGGCUGGUGCCAGGGCCAUCGGCUUUGGCUGAUGAGCGCCCGCCAGGGGAAAAAACCUAUAACUUGAUAUCUAGAAGAUUGUCUGAAAAAAUAAAUUAUUACAACUUUCAACAACGGAUCUCUUGGCUCUG